CCAGUUACGAGGAAGGAGUCCAGCAACCACACUUGCUGUUUAGAACAAGUGCUGGGGGCUGUCAGCUGCCCUGUCCCCAGCCCCAUCCUAGGGCACAGGAAGGGGCAAGGGUGCCGCACGGGUGCACCCCUCUCCACACCGGCCAGUGAACCCAGAAUGGCUCUGUGCCCCCCAAACCAGAUCCAGUCCCCAGAAGGGACAGCUCAUUCUCUUCACAAAGGAAUUCCCUACGACAAGGCCACAAGAGAUUGACUACCAUUUAGGAUGUGACCAGAUCUCAUACGUCGGCCUCCGUGACUCGUGUGCCACGCACCGGUUAAUUACAGAUGGGUCACACGGAGAAGGACGGUGCCACCCGAAGAGCAUGACACCAUCCCGAAAUCUUGAAGUCAUUUCUGCUUGAUUGAGAACCGCAUCAGGACCGUGAAUCAUACUCAGCUAAUUAGCCCCCACCAUGAAAUACUUUGCACGUCCCAGGUUCUCAUGGAGGAGCUGUUGCAUUUGGAAAAGUGAAGAGAAACCAGGGAUUAGAUUGGUUUCAAAGACUUCUUCUCCACGUGGGUUACCCCUGCUUCAGAGGCUCUUGUGACGCCCUCCUAUUACUUCACAUCCAGAUGGCCAUCACUGGGGAGGUGCGGCAACGUCACCUGCAGAAUCACUGUUUCUCUUGGUGGUUUCUCAUUCUCACGGCUGUGGAUCUGCCAGUUGUUUCUGAUGGUGUGGGCGCUGGUGCCCUUCAGAAAGGCCUCUCUGAUUGACAGGAAACUGAGUCACAGAGAAGUUAACUAUCUUUCCCAAAGUCACACGGAUUUGGAAGAUCUCCGGUUCAUUCAGCUGCACUUCUUGUCAUGGGAUAUGGCAGCGCGUCUCAAACUUGCCUGGGAACCGGACGCAGAGAAGCCAGGAGCCGGAGCCCAGAUUUGGGCACAACUUCUCCCUAGGGGUCUGCUUGUUCAGACGAGGCGUCGAGGCAACUGUCUGCACAGUCGUCAUCGUAACUAGAAAGUAGCGGGGGUACUGGAACAGCUUCGUUGCUUUAGAAUAGGCCGUCUCGCCGUUCAUCAUAUUUGAGACUUCUGUGAAACUACAUCGUGUGGAAGUUGGUGGCCUUUUGAGAAAAAUGUAAUGGUAUUCACAUUUCUUCCUAUACCACUCGGGGAUUUUAAACAAUGGAGCAAGAAAAGAAGGCCAAGACUGUCUUCUUACUUAACACGUACCUGCUUACUUUUCAAGAGCUUUAAAACAAAAACCAAAUCACCCCACUGGAAGCCGGCCCCGGGACCUUGGACUACUCAUUCAGUGUCGCUGGUGUCGGAGCCUCGAAGGUGGAGCACACACUCCAGGAGUCCUUGCAAAGAUGCCACCAGGGAGCUGGAGGAAACGUUAGAACCUUUAUUUACGUGUUUUCCCUCUAAAAUCAUGAAGAAAGCAGAUGGAGCCAAUGGCAAGCAUUCUCCCAGUAUCGGCCUAUGCGAAAUGACUUUAUGCUCACCGCUCAGUCAGCCCUGUUUCUUAUCUACACGAUGUGAAGGCAAGGACUCAAGAAAUGUUGGCUAACACCAUUGUUACUCCGAAGAAAAUUCUCAUGCAACUGGACAAAGAUAUGUGGAGAAGCUAUUUUGGUUGUAGGAAAAAUUGAAGGCCAUCGAAUUGUCCAUUGACAGGGGAACACCAGGGGUGUGAUUAUCCGAGCAGAGGAGACCUCUAGGAGAGCUGUGUUCCCAGAUGAGUCAGCUGUCGUCUCAGCCAUUACCUAAUGCUGAACUGGGACAGGUUUGGGAAGCUGAAGUCAGUGAAAAAGCCGAGACUCACAGGAAACUUCCUGGCUUGUUGUCAGCUUUCGAGGAGAGUGUCUUCAGUCUCUAUCUGGCAGAAACUUCUCAAUGCAUUAUUUUGAAAACUGAGAAAUAAAAGGAAAGAAGACAGUCCCUGCCUUCCUGAUAUGAACUAUAUCUCAAAGUGACUGAACAGUUGAUGGGGGCAAGUUUCUCUUUAGAGAAGCAUUUCACUAACAAGUGAGAAGGAAUGAUAGAAUUAACAGGCCGAUGGGUCUACACAAUGAUUAUCAGUGCUGCCAAGAUCACGAAAUAGGAGCCGUCAGCAUUGUGUGAUGGAAGUAUACCCUACCACUUACGACUUAAUCUUGACAAAAUAUGAACCCCAAUCUGAUUAAGCUUCUAAAUCUAACUAAUUUUUGGACAGGUAACUCCACAAGAAUGCAAUAAGGAAAACUCAG
This is a long non-coding RNA of Equus caballus (horse), 2236 nucleotides long. Lineage: Eukaryota; Metazoa; Chordata; Mammalia; Perissodactyla; Equidae. The record is from Ensembl.